UUCCGGUUGAUCCUGCCGGAGGUCACUGCUAUUGGGAUUCGACUAAGCCAUGCGAGUCGAGAGGGUUCGGCCCUCGGCAGACGGCUCAGUAACACGUGGAUAAUCUGCCCUUAGGUGGAGGAUAACCUCGGGAAACUGAGAAUAAUACUCCAUAGAUCUAGGAUGCUGGAAUGCACUUAGAUUGAAAGUUCCGACGCCUAAGGAUGAGUCUGCGGACUAUCAGGUAGUAGUCAGGGUAAAGGCCUGACUAGCCUACGACGGAUACGGGUUGUGAGAGCAAUAACCCGGAGACGAUAUCUGAGACACGAUAUCGGGCCCUACGGGGCGCAGCAGGCGCGAAACCUUCACAAUGUGCGAAAGCACGAUGAGGGGAUCCCAAGUGCUUGCUCGUAAGAGUAAGCUGUUUUUAUGUCUAAAAAGCAUAGAGAGUAAGGGCUGGGUAAGACGGGUGCCAGCCGCCGCGGUAAUACCUGCAGCUCAAGUGGUGACCACUAUUAUUGGGCCUAAAACGUUCGUAGCCGGUUUGGUAAAUGCCUGGGUAAAUCGUGUAGCUUAACUAUACGAAUUCCGGGUAGACUGCCAAACUUGAGACCGGGAGAAGCUAGAGGUACUCCUGGGGUAGAGGUGAAAUUCUGUAAUCCUGGGGGGACCACCAGUGGCGAAGGCGUCUAGCUAGAACGGGUUUGACGGUGAGGAACGAAGCCCUGGGGCGCAAACCGGAUUAGAUACCCGGGUAGUCCAGGGUGUAAACGCUGCUUGCUUGAUGUUAGUUGGGCUCCGAGCCCAAUUAGUGUCGGAGAGAAGUUGUUAAGCAAGCUGCCUGGGAAGUACGAUCGCAAGAUUGAAACUUAAAGGAAUUGGCGGG
Molecule: ribosomal RNA, 865 nt
Filed under: uncultured archaeon
Lineage: Archaea
Description: bacterial SSU rRNA
Rfam family: Archaeal small subunit ribosomal RNA
Source: RNAcentral